UUUGCAGUGUUAAAAGUUAUUAAUUCCCAGAGAGUUGAAUUAACAAUCUACAGUGUUAAACAGUACUGGUGUUCAGUGUUGUCACGAUUUUAGCCCGAUUUUUCACUCGCCGACAGGUUUUGAUAAAUCGCCGACAAACGCCCGACAUCGGAGGCAAAUCGGAGCUCGUUCACGCGAGUGAAAAUCGCGCAGUGUGAAUUAUCAAAGACGCGAUCUGAGAGAAUCGCCGACACGUCGCCGACGCCCGUGAAAUAUUUGGCAUGCUAAAUAUCUGGAGCUGUCGGCGAUUCACAAUCCUGCUGUGUGCAAUGAUUUCUGACUGAAAACUACAUCACGAUGACCUUCAGCCAAUGAGAGACAAAGAUACAGGGCAGAGGGAAGUUCCAUGAGGAGUUAUCAUAUCAGUAUUUUAAUUUGUACAAUUAUAUCAUACAGAAACAAGCACAAACGCUUGACCAGCCGCAACAACAGUUACUGCAAAUGAUUAUUUACCACUCUUUGCAGAACACAAUCCCUGUUCCCUGCAUCCCUCCUGCAUAAUCUGUUGUUGUUUUUGUAGCUGGAAAUCAGCGCACAGACAAUUUGCGGGCUAUAUAUUUUUAAUACUUCCAGUCUCGCUCCAGAACAACGGGCUGAGGCAUGUAGGUUUUCGCGUUAUUUCCUUAUCACUUCUCGCGUGUGUUUUGUUGUGAAACGUAGUUUGCGGAUCAGACAGAGUUGUCGGCGAUUCUUCCUAUUGUGAAAUCGUGCAAUGUGAAAGCCCCUGUCGCCGAUCCAUCGUGCAAUGUGGACACAGCAGGGACUGAAUGCUACCCAGACAGUCACGCAGUGUGAAAACAACAGCGAUCCGACGUGUUUGAAAAUCGUGCAGUGUGAAUUCGGCAUAAGUUGGAUUGCUUUUCUCUUUAUAAAUUUACAUGGGAGAAAUACUUUUUGUUGAUAAUGUUACUCAAAAUUUGAUUGGUGGUGAACACAUUUAGAAAUUACUAACUGCCAGUGUUUUUGUCGGGUGUACAGUGUUAAGUUCGUGAGGUGUAGAGAUGCAACGUUAGCCUGUGUGAAAGUUUCUAAAGCGGGUUCGAUUUCCUGAAAUAGUGAUUUUACUUGUAAAAUAAUUUUUGGAAUGUGUUUAUAAUUUAUGUUAUAUAUAUACUUUUAGCUUCUUUCAUUUUGGUUCGAUGACAGAUCCUCUCUCCUUCAUUCCCGCCGAGGCCUGGUUUUACUACGAGUCUGAAGCAGACACAUUUGGGCGGUUUUCUACUCAGAGGAGAGAAUUCAUCAAAUGUUAAAUUUAUAUUUGUUUUUGAAAGCACUGAGUGCUUUGAACCGGUAAUAGUGGGACUGUUAAACAUUUACGUGCUAACAAUUUCGUUUUUGUGACAUAACACCGUGUUGAAGUGUCGCGUCGCGUCAAGUCUUUCUGCAGACGGAGCUGUGUAACGCGGGACAUUUACCAGUCAUUUAAUUGGCGUUAUCUAAUGCAAAACUGUGAAAUUAGAGCGCGUUUAAAAACUUAAAUCCGUCAGUCUUUCAAUUUCUUUCAGUGCCCAUGCAGAGCAUGCUUGAAACCAGUCUUUAUCAAUUCAUAUAGCAUGCUAUUUUGGGUAAAUAAUGUCCUAAAUAUUUCCAGAUGUACAAAGUUAAGUUUUAAUUUAGAAAGAUAUGUCUGAAUCUAUCUGUAUUUUCUUUUCACAUUAUAAAUAAUAAAUUAAUAGUAAGAUAAAUUCUGAACGUGUUAAUUUAUUCUAACGUAGUACACCAUGUUCAUUUUAAGAUGCCUUAUUACUCAUGUUACUCAUUAAAAUUAUAUAAAUGUGUUUAAUAAUCAGAUUAAAUAAAUACUUAAAUUGUUUCAGGAAUACCUCCAUGUGAAUAUUGCACAAGGUUUUAUGUCUAUUAACUUUAACAGUCGUUUAAUUGACCCUAGAAUUAAGGAUGUAAAUAAAAAUAAGUUUAUGAUUUGACACCCGUAUUAUAGACAGCUCUCAGCAUACUCAAAAUUAGGGGUAAUCAUAAUUAUUUUACCAUAUUUACAGUCCUAAUGUAAAUUAAAUUACUGAAAUAAGUGUUUUUUAUUUUUAUUUUUCAAUAGAAUUGGCCCAGACGUCUGCAGUGUCAAGUGAAGGAAGCUCCUCUCAUAAGAUUGCAAACCUGGAGUCUGAUGAGCGUCAGUGAUGGAAGCCCUUCAAGAAAGGAGCAGAAUGCUGAAGAUGAAGCCAGAAUUACCUUCAAGGACACGAUUGACCUCGGAAUCAGCUGUAAAGGAGGAUGAAACCGAUGUUUAAGAAUGGGACAGCGAUGUUGCAUCAAUUUGUCUCCUUCAUUUGAUUCCACCAUCACCACAAGGCUGCAAGGGACCUGGAGAAAUGUCCUCCUAUCAAGCUGAAAAAUAUCUUCAAAUAGGCACUAAUAAGAACACCUUGAUUGCAUAGAAGAGACCACACAGCCAUACCUGCUCGCUGAUGGGACAACGAGGAACAGCGUUCAUGGAUGCUACACAACUGUCGACAAGUAUCUUGCUGCAGUCUUGUUCAAACCUGUCAUAUUUGUUAAUGUCUAGGUAAAUUUGAUGAUUUUAUGUGUUUUAUUAACUAUGUUAUGUUUCCGUGCAACACUUAACGAAUGUGACUGACUAAUUAACCUCUACACAUCUGGUAUAUGCUUUAAAGUUGCCACUUUGCCCAUUUGUUAAAUAAA
Molecule: long non-coding RNA, 2697 nt
Organism: Onychostoma macrolepis
Lineage: Eukaryota; Metazoa; Chordata; Actinopteri; Cypriniformes; Cyprinidae
Exons: 4
Source: RefSeq, a predicted model, not a curated record